This 1191-nucleotide small RNA is filed under the name Oryza sativa Japonica Group (Japanese rice). Its description in RNAcentral is "sRNA Os01g0561800". The record is from RNAcentral. Lineage: Eukaryota; Viridiplantae; Streptophyta; Magnoliopsida; Poales; Poaceae.
GUCUGCGUGGCGGCGAGGAAGACGACGAUCGCCGCGACUACGACGGAGAUGGCCGACCACGGGCUGCCGAAGUAGUCACGCCGGAGCGCCGCCCUGUUGCGGUGCCACCACGAGCCACAGUACCCGCGCACGUCCUCGUACAGCCCGGCGAAAGCCUGGCGGCUGAAGUCCAUGGCGGCGCCCUCGCCGAGGCGGCUGAAGAACCGGGCCGCCUCCUCGUCGUCGGCCAGCAGGCUCUCCAGGACGCCGCGCCGGCGGAGCAGCUCGACGUCGCGCGCCGUCACGAUGAGCUGGCCCAUCAGCGCCACGUAGCUGGUGAGGAGGCGCGGCUCCUCGCCCGCCUGCGUCUGCUCGAACGCCAUGAGGUUGACGAGGAGCGGUCGCUUCAUGUCGUCGAUCUCUCUAUGGCCGGGAUCUCCAUGACGCCCCUGCGGCGGUCGAACGUCACGUCGAACCUGUCCCGCGCCGCGCUCCGCCGCACGAGGGUGACACCCGCCUCCCGCAGUUCGCUGGCACGCAGAAUCGUCCGCGUCGGCGCCGCCGGUGCCUUCCGGGCCGACUCGGGCAGCCGCGGCCGUGGCCGCUUGGGAACGAAGCACUCGUAGUACAGGUGGAGGAGGUGGUGGACGUCCCAGUCACCGGACGGCCGCCUGAUGGGCUCCUCGUCGCUGAUGUACUCGAUGAGGAGGUUGAAGAGGGACUCCUUGUCGGGCUGCAUGCCGGCGACGGCUUCGUAGAGCCUCUCGAGGACGAAGAACGGGAUCUGGUUCUCCAUCAAGAGCAGGUCGGCGGCGACGAGCGUGAGGCCCCAGCCGACGUCGCAGAGCGAGUCGGCCUCCUUGGUGUGCCACUUGAAGAAGAACUCGAGGAUGAAGAAGCCGUCGAGGAGGAGCAUCCGGACGAAGUCGUCGGAGGAGUCCAUGCCCACGGGGCGCUCGCUGUAGCACGCGCGCGCCCGGGGCUCGAGGGUCCGCAUUUCCGCGACCAAGGCGGACGCGGUGACCACGGCAGCGGCGCCGUCGCCAGCGCGGCGGGAUAGCAGGUCGUGGAGGUAGCGCCACUUGUGGUCCUCCAUGGCGCGGAGCGCGGCGCCGCCGUGGUGGUAGGGGCCGAUGGAUACCAGGCGCGGCUCGUACGCGGUGCGGUUGCCGUCGCGGACGUAGGCGGGGACGCGGAAGAUGGUGAACGGCU